AACGAACGCUGGCGGCAUGCCUAACACAUGCAAGUCGAACGGUGCCUUCGGGCACAGUGGCGCACGGGUGAGUAACACGUGGGAACCUGCCUUUCGGUUCGGAACAACGUCUGGAAACGGACGCUAACGCCGGAUACGCCCAUCCAGCGAUGGUUGGGGAAAGUUUACGCCGAGAGAGGGGCCCGCGCCGGAUUAGGUAGUUGGUGGGGUAACGGCCUACCAAGCCGACGAUCCGUAGCUGGUCUGAGAGGAUGAUCAGCCACACUGGGACUGAGACACGGCCCAGACUCCUACGGGAGGCAGCAGUGGGGAAUAUUGGACAAUGGGCGCAAGCCUGAUCCAGCAAUGCCGCGUGAGUGAUGAAGGCCUUAGGGUUGUAAAGCUCUUUCGCACGCGACGAUGAUGACGGUAGCGUGAGAAGAAGCCCCGGCUAACUUCGUGCCAGCAGCCGCGGUAAGUACGCAGCGA
Molecule: ribosomal RNA, 468 nt
Filed under: uncultured bacterium
Lineage: Bacteria
Description: bacterial SSU rRNA
Rfam family: Bacterial small subunit ribosomal RNA
Source: RNAcentral